AUGUUGUGGCGGAGAACUCUGUCUGUCAUUGUUAUUCUCUUGGCUCUUUGGUAUAGAAACAAAGAUGGUAGAAAAUUUAGAAGUGGAGGAAGAAAGUAUGGUCCACUAGUUGAGAGAGACAUCUACAAGACUAGUGUCCUGGUUAGGCUAAUUGACACAUCCGAUGCAAUAUGUAUCAAGAAACUGCGGAUGUCUCGAACUGUGUUUUACAAGCUAUGUAUUAGGCUCAGGCAGAAAAAGUUGUUAAUUGAUACACUACAUGUUUCAGUAGAGGAACAAGUAGCAAUGUUCCUAUACAUGAUCAGCCAGCAUCACACAAAUUCAUCCAUUGGACACACACACAAAAAUCACUAG
Molecule: ribosomal RNA, 354 nt
Filed under: Triticum aestivum (bread wheat)
Lineage: Eukaryota; Viridiplantae; Streptophyta; Magnoliopsida; Poales; Poaceae
Description: partial small subunit ribosomal RNA
Source: RNAcentral